GAUGAACGCUAGCUACAGGCUUAACACAUGCAAGUCGAGGGGCAGCAUGGUCUUAGCUUGCUAAGGCCGAUGGCGACCGGCGCACGGGUGAGUAACGCGUAUCCAACCUGCCUUACACUCUUGGACAGCCUUCUGAAAGGGAGAUUAAUACAAGAUGUUAUCAUGAGUAAGCAUUUUCGCAUGAUUAAAGGUUUACCGGUGUAAGAUGGGGAUGCGUUCCAUUAGGCAGUUGGCGGGGUAACGGCCCACCAAACCGACGAUGGAUAGGGGUUCUGAGAGGAAGGUCCCCCACAUUGGUACUGAGACACGGACCAA
RNAcentral lists this ribosomal RNA (315 nucleotides) under uncultured bacterium. RNAcentral describes it as "bacterial SSU rRNA". It matches the Rfam family "Bacterial small subunit ribosomal RNA", at positions 28 to 334 of the family's 1533-position model. The record is from RNAcentral.